Molecule: RNA transcript, 2439 nt
Organism: Mauremys mutica (yellowpond turtle)
Lineage: Eukaryota; Metazoa; Chordata; Testudines; Geoemydidae
Gene: DTD1
Gene name: D-aminoacyl-tRNA deacylase 1
Exons: 7
Source: RefSeq, a predicted model, not a curated record
CCGGGCUGCUGCAGUGCCCGCUGGGGCCUGGCGGGGGCGGCCGCGGCCGCUGAUUCCGGAUCCCGCCGCUGAUCCCCGGCCGGGCCUGGCUCCGCCACCUCGGCACCAUGAAGGCGAUAAUCCAGCGGGUCACCCAGGCCAGCGUGACAGUGGGUGGGGAACAAAUAAGUUCCAUUGGAAGAGGCAUCUGUGUGUUGCUGGGUAUUUCUUUGGAAGAUACUCACAAAGAGCUAGAACACAUGGUUCGCAAGAUUUUAAACUUGCGUGUGUUCGAAGACGAAAGCGGGAAACACUGGUCUAAAAGCGUGAUGGAUAAACAGUAUGAGGUGCUUUGUGUCAGCCAGUUUACUCUGCAGUGCAUCCUGAAAGGAAACAAACCAGACUAUCACAUGGCUAUGCCUGCAGAGCAAGCAGAGUCUUUCUACAACAACUUCCUAGAACAACUUAAAAAAGCCUACAAACCAGAGCUUAUUAAAGAUGGCAAGUUUGGAGCCUACAUGCAGGUAAACAUCCAGAAUGAUGGUCCUGUGACUAUAGAACUGGAAUCCCCUGCUGCCACCAUGGACCUGAAGCAGCUGACAAAGCUCGAAAAACAGCAGCAAAGGAAAGAGAAGACCAGAACCAAGGUACCCUCUGAAUCAAGUAGAGAAAGAAAUGCCCCUCGUAAUAAGGAUGACCCCAGUGCAAGCAGUGGAGCAGAGGGAGAUGUGUCUUCUGAAAGGGAACCUUGAUCCUCAAAAGCAGGCCUCAGCUAAAGCCCUUCCUCCUAUUUAUAUCCAUUGUGUACACAAUCUAACUGCAUCAUCAAUUAUAGUUUUUCAUCCUUCUUUUCCAGACACAACACCUCAGACUUUCCUGUUUGUCAUACAAAGGCGAUGUUGGAGCCUUAAGAAUUCACAGUUUACAUUAUCCUCAGAGUUGAUCUUAAAAGACUUUGGAAAAGAAAGAAAAGCAGGAAAAUAGAACUAAGAAAUUAUGACUCUACAUCAUUCUGUACUAAAAACAACCAAAGGAAAGUUACCAGUUUCAGUUAAAAUGUAUUCGUAGUAGUGAAAAUGAUUCACAGCAUUUUUCUGUGCAUCUGUGUUUGUUUUCACAUGGUUUACUGAAUGAAGGGUGAUUUUUUUAAUGCAGAUUGUAACAGAACAUAUGACAACAGAGCACAUGAUCAAUUUCCAAAAAUAAAUCAGUUUUUCCUCAAAUUCUGACUUUAAUUCUGAAGAUAUCUCAAAGCAAGCUUGUAUUUUCAUUUGCAUUGUGUAGUGUCAUGUGCUGUCUGUUUCCAUAGCAAUGUAUAAAUCUGUGUACAUUACCAUAUGUUGUACAAUCUCUGUCUAACACCAGGUUUGGGAGUAUAGUCUUUUUUCAUGUGUUAAAAAAAACUGUCAUUGAUAAUUUAUCUUGUGAAAUACGUGUGUCUUAUAAAACUUUUUAAAAAAAACAAACCACUUUAUUAAACAAAUUACACUACCUUAUCACCUGUUGGUGUUUGAUAUGGAUUGCUGUGAUCUUGGGAACAUAAUGAACUUUAACAAUGCAACUAAUGCAGAGCACAAGUAUCUGUCCGAAAAGUUUUUAAUAGAAGAGUAUCAUAUUCCUCUCGCCCUUAAAAAAAUUCUAUUGACAAAAGUUUCUUCCUUGGUACAUUUAACUUUUUAGGCAUAGUCAAUCUAGAUCUUCUAGACACUUUCCUUUGGCCACCAAAAUUUUAGAGGCAGCUGCUCCAUCUACAGUAUCUUGCAUCUGGUGACAUUUCUAUCCGCUUGAGAGGCAGAAUAGCCUUUGAAAACUGGCAGAGUGCAGUGAGAGCAGAGAACUAGCAGACUACAAAAACUGUGGUUGCGUGAAAGCCCAGGAAAUUUCAGUCCUGUCCCUUUAACUCUUCUGAGAGGGGAAAUUAAAGGCUAUGGUGUCUGCCUCUUUGUUAGAUGUAGUAGGACAUUUAUAAAAUGUAUUUGUCAAGGAAGGAGUCAUUGUUACCAGGGUAACCCCAGGCAAGAACAUAAUUCCUGCUGAAAUAGCAGUGAUUCAUUAAAAAAAAUAAUAAAAAAAAAAUGUUUGUCAUACAUUGGUUUGAGUGUUCUGUGAACAGAAGCAUUUAUUUUUAAAAUUUCCUUGUAUGCCUGGAUGGAAUCUAAAUUACUUGUGUCACUAAAUUAUUCCUUUGCAAGAUGAAGCAUUUACUUUCUGCAGCGUUAGAUUUCCUCUGAACUCUGUCUCUGUACUUUAUGAUGUGAAAACUGUUCUAUCCGGUAUUGUAGCACUACCUGACUGACGAACUGUCGUUCUGAAUCCAAUUGUUACUGUAUUGACAUAAUUGCAGACUAUAAAACCGUCCGUGCUCGCUUGCCCAUGUCGCGUUUCCAAAUGCUGCUCUCUGCUUGUGUUUAUAAUUCACAGUUUAUUGUCUAAUAAAACAUUUGACUGAGGACAGGAAGA